Molecule: unclassified non-coding RNA, 252 nt
Filed under: Hevea brasiliensis (rubber tree)
Lineage: Eukaryota; Viridiplantae; Streptophyta; Magnoliopsida; Malpighiales; Euphorbiaceae
Source: RNAcentral
AAAAAAAAAAAAAGAAAGACAGAAUUGACAGCAAGCCUCUGAGUCUUUGAAAUGUCCUUCAUUACCCUCAAAGAUUUAGAAUUUUAUAAGCAACCAAGAAUCAACUUCUUUAGCCAAUUUCACUUUACAACCAAACCAGUAUAAACAUGUGAACAAUUUGCACCUAGAGGAAGAAGAACUUUGUAUUCUGUACGCUAGACAAAUGAGGAACGAAAUCAAGAACAAGAGCCAAAAAGCAGAGGCCUAAUACAG